GCAUGUGGCUUAAUUUGACUCAACGCAGGAAAUCUUACCGGGUCCGGACACACUGAGGAUUGACAGAUAAUAACGGGUUGGUUCUUCGGAACCGACUCGCAAAAAUAUGAUAGCUCUUUCAUAAUUAUGUGAUAGGUGGUGCAUGGCCGUUCUUAGUUCGUGGAGUGAUCUGUCUGCUUAAUUGCGUUUUCAUUAUGGCUGACUAUAGUAUGUGUAUUUAUAUGCUCUCGCGGUAUGUAAAUCACGUCUGUCGGCUUUGAAAUGCAACGAACGUGACCGCAACCUCUUGUUGCACCUUAGCUGCUCAAGGUGCUCAACUAGAGGGACCGCUGUAUUUUUUCUUUUAGCCAGAGGAAGGAUGCGGCAAUAACAGGUCUGUGAUGCCCUCAGAUGUCCCGGGCUGCACACGUGCUACAAUGAUCAUUGCACUGCGCAUCUUCUUUUAUGUUUACACUGUCGUGUGCGAUAAUGAUUCGCUUCACAGUGGUCGUAUCAAACACACAGUACACACACCCGUGUCGACAGGCUACUACACUCGGGUAACCCAUUAGAAGUAAUGAUUUCCAUAUGCACACAAUCAUACGUAUGAACGCUGAACACUCCGGUGUCUCAAUGUUCGUACGCAUGUGCGAUUGUCAAUUCAUGGUGGGGACAGACCAUUGAUAAUUGUUGGUCUCGGUCU
Molecule: ribosomal RNA, 682 nt
Filed under: Elphidium sp. S8
Lineage: Eukaryota; Foraminifera; Rotaliida; Elphidiidae
Description: SSU rRNA
Rfam family: Eukaryotic small subunit ribosomal RNA (bases 1-526)
Source: RNAcentral